This 435-nucleotide ribosomal RNA is filed under the name uncultured bacterium. RNAcentral's name for it is "bacterial SSU rRNA". It matches the Rfam family "Bacterial small subunit ribosomal RNA", at positions 352 to 782 of the family's 1533-position model. The record is from RNAcentral.
CAGUCGAGAAUCUUCGGCAAUGGGCGAAAGCCUGACCGAGCGACGCCGCGUGCGGGACGAAGGCCUUCGGGUUGUAAACCGCUGUCGGGAGGGAUGAAGUGCACGGGGGCUAUCCCCUGUGUUUGACAGAGCUCCGGAGGAAGCACGGGCUAAGUUCGUGCCAGCAGCCGCGGUAAUACGAACUGUGCGAACGUUAUUCGGAAUCACUGGGCUUAAAGGGUGCGUAGGCGGCGCUGUAAGUCAGGUGUGAAAUCCCCCGGCUCAACCGGGGAAUGGCGCUUGAAACUGCAGUGCUUGAGUGAGGUAGGGGUGCAUGGAACUUCCGGUGGAGCGGUGAAAUGUGUAGAUAUCGGAAGGAACGCCGGCGGCGAAAGCGGUGCACUGGGCCUUGUCUGACGCUGAGGCACGAAAGCUAGGGUAGCGAACGGGAUUAGA